RNAcentral lists this ribosomal RNA (303 nucleotides) under uncultured bacterium. RNAcentral's name for it is "partial 16S ribosomal RNA". It matches the Rfam family "Bacterial small subunit ribosomal RNA", at positions 507 to 807 of the family's 1533-position model. The record is from RNAcentral.
AGCAGUAGCCGCGGUAAUACGUAGGUGGCAAGCGUUGUCCGGAAUUAUUGGGCGUAAAGCGCGCGCAGGUGGUUUAAUAAGUCUGAUGUGAAAGCCCACGGCUCAACCGUGGAGGGUCAUUGGAAACUGUUAAACUUGAGUGCAGGAGAGAAAAGUGGAAUUCCUAGUGUAGCGGUGAAAUGCGUAGAGAUUAGGAGGAACACCAGUGGCGAAGGCGGCUUUUUGGCUUGUAACUGACACUGAGGCGCGAAAGCGUGGGGAGCAAACAGGAUUAGAUACCCGGGUAGUCCCUGUCUCUUAUAC